GAUCGGAGUGACACCUGGAAACAGAUGCUAAUACCGGAUAACAACAGAUGAUGCCUAUCAACUGUUUAAAAGAUGGUUCUGCUAUCACUCUUGGAUGGACCUGCGGUGCAUUAGCUAGUUGGUAGGGUAACGGCCUACCAAGGCGAUGAUGCAUAGCCGAGUUGAGAGACUGAUCGGCCACAUUGGGACUGAGACACGGCCCAAACUCCUACGGGAGGCAGCAGGU
This 226-nucleotide ribosomal RNA is filed under the name uncultured Lactobacillus sp. RNAcentral's name for it is "partial 16S ribosomal RNA". It matches the Rfam family "Bacterial small subunit ribosomal RNA", at positions 136 to 354 of the family's 1533-position model. The record is from RNAcentral. Lineage: Bacteria; Bacillati; Bacillota; Bacilli; Lactobacillales; Lactobacillaceae.